AUUGAACGCUGGCGGCAUGCUUUACACAUGCAAGUCGAACGGUAACAGGCCUUCGGGUGCUGACGAGUGGCGAACGGGUGAGUAAUGCAUCGGAACGUGCCCAAUCGUGGGGGAUAACGUAGCGAAAGCUACGCUAAUACCGCAUACGAUCUAUGGAUGAAAGCGGGGGAUCGCAAGACCUCGCGCGAUUGGAGCGGCCGAUAUCAGAUUAGGUAGUUGGUGGGGUAAAAGCCUACCAAGCCUUCGAUCUGUAGCUGGUCUGAGAGGACGACCAGCCACACUGGAACUGAGACACGGUCCAGACUCCUACGGGAGGCAGCAGUGGGGAAUUUUGGACAAUGGGCGCAAGCCUGAUCCAGCCAUGCCGCGUGAGUGAAGAAGGCCUGG
RNAcentral lists this ribosomal RNA (387 nucleotides) under uncultured bacterium. Its description in RNAcentral is "bacterial SSU rRNA". It matches the Rfam family "Bacterial small subunit ribosomal RNA", at positions 30 to 419 of the family's 1533-position model. The record is from RNAcentral.